This 392-nucleotide small RNA is filed under the name Oryza sativa Japonica Group (Japanese rice). RNAcentral's name for it is "sRNA Os11g0100151". Lineage: Eukaryota; Viridiplantae; Streptophyta; Magnoliopsida; Poales; Poaceae. The record is from RNAcentral.
UGUCGGGGUAGGAGGCGAUCAUGGCGGCCGACUCCUUGGCCCUCUCCUCUGUAAACAAGAAUUCGAUCUGAGUCAAUACUAUCCAUGAACAUGAAUAGUAAAUCUGAAAGGAAGGAAUUGAGGAGUAGUAGCUAGGAACUAACCCAAGGUGAACUCCUCCUUGAAGGGCCUGGGCUUCAUCUCUAUCUCUAAUUCAAAUGAGCCUCUCUCGUCUUCUUCCUUGAUGCGAAUCUCUCUGUAGCUAGGGUUCGCUGGUUGCUUGCGUGCUGGUUUGGCUUUGGAUUGAACAAUUCGGUGGAUAGACGUGUAGACUCCAGAAGAAGAGGAAAGGACGAGAAGAAGAAGAAAAGAAGAGCAAAAUAAAGCCCAAAACAAAAAGGAAGAAGAGCCCA